This is a long non-coding RNA of Artibeus jamaicensis (Jamaican fruit-eating bat), 577 nucleotides long. RefSeq lists it as uncharacterized. The transcript is spliced from 4 exons. The record is from RefSeq and is a predicted model, not a curated record. NCBI's taxonomy places the organism in Eukaryota, Metazoa, Chordata, Mammalia, Chiroptera, Phyllostomidae.
CACCAUGACGCUGAUGCCUGUCUCCACGAAGGGGACGGAGAAGUCCACGAUCUCGGACCGCUCCUCGUUUAUGACGCCGUCGAUCUUCUUCCCGUGUUUGCCGUUAGUGACCAGGUAGAGGUCAUAGCUGAAGCCGAUGGUCUGCGCCAGCCGCUUCAGAAUGUCGAUGCAGAAGCCCUUGCAGCACCGCUUUUCUGGGCGGGGGGCGUCCGGCGGAGGGCUGCGGGGGAACGAGCAAGCUUGGGAACGUUGGGGAUCCCCUCGCCUUAUGGAGGGAGGAACAAGCAGCGGCUAAAACUAAGGACCCUGCGUUCUUUAAAGAGACAUCCAUGGUCUUUUUCAUCUGUGUUCUCAGCGCCCAGCAUGAGCCCUAGUUCCUAGCAGGCUGAAUUCAGUGAAUGUGUGCUGAGGAGACCACGUUCCCAGCAUUCAAUGGGGGCACAGAUGUAGCUGUGAGGACCACCCUACUUCAUCUUCAGACUACAUUUCCCAGAAGGGAAUGCGUGUACACCCAGCGGGCCACAAUGACUACUGAGACAAUAAACUGAGCAGACCACAGUCUUCAGCAAUGGAGGCA